Cucumis sativus (cucumber) is the source of this 74-nucleotide non-coding RNA. The record is from Rfam. Lineage: Eukaryota; Viridiplantae; Streptophyta; Magnoliopsida; Cucurbitales; Cucurbitaceae.
GUCUGGGUGGUGUAGUUGGUUAUCACGCUAGUCUCACACACUAGAGGUCUCCGGUUCGAACCCGGACUCAGACA